UACAGAGGUCCCAAGCGUUGUUCGGAUUCACUGGGCGUAAAGGGUGCGUAGGUGGUGAGGUAAGUCGGAUGGGAAAGCUCGGAGCUCAACUCCGAAAUGGCAUUGGAAACUACCUCGCUCGAGGGUUGGAGGGGGGACUGGAAUACUUGGUGUAGCAGUGAAAUGCGUAGAUAUCAAGUGGAAUACCGAUGGCGAAGGCAGGUCUCUGGGCUGACACUGACGCUCAUGCACGAAAGCGUGGGGAGCAAACAGG
Molecule: ribosomal RNA, 253 nt
Filed under: uncultured bacterium
Lineage: Bacteria
Description: partial 16S ribosomal RNA
Rfam family: Bacterial small subunit ribosomal RNA
Source: RNAcentral